UCCGGUUUGUCACCGGCAGUCACCUUAGAGUGCCCAACUAAAUGCUGGCAACUAAGAUCAAGGGUUGCGCUCGUUGCGGGACUUAACCCAACAUCUCACGACACGAGCUGACGACAACCAUGCACCACCUAUCGCAGACCCCGAAGGACACCGUAUCUCUACGGCUUUUCCUGCGUAGUUCAACCCAGGUAAGGUUCUUCGCGUUGCAUCGAAUUA
This 216-nucleotide unclassified non-coding RNA is filed under the name uncultured bacterium. RNAcentral's name for it is "contains 16S-23S intergenic spacer region". The record is from RNAcentral.